This is a long non-coding RNA of Schistocerca serialis cubense, 335 nucleotides long. RefSeq lists it as uncharacterized. The record is from RefSeq and is a predicted model, not a curated record. Lineage: Eukaryota; Metazoa; Arthropoda; Insecta; Orthoptera; Acrididae. The transcript is spliced from 3 exons.
GCUACUUCCGCGAUUUCUGCGACUUCUGUGACUUACCACCGUAUGAAAAAGCUACAUCUGUCCACACAGGAAAUUGCAUCUCAACAAACCUGUCAUUGGUACCCGAACUACAUUUCAGUCACUCAGUAAAGUGAUAACUCGAAAUAUCAUUGUCAGCAGAUCUGGAGAAAUUGCCACUGCGUCUUUAGACCGUUUUCGUCAGACGAGAGACACAGUUCUGGUUGCUGUACGUAUCUAUCCACAUCAAGGCUGUUGGGAGAGACUCGUGAAGAUUCAAGAGAGCUCUUAGAGGAUUUGCAGUUUAAAAGUGACAUUAUUGCGAAAUAAGUGUGCAG